AAACAAUAGCCAAUAUUUAUUUUCCAAAAAAAUAUGGUACAGUAUAAUAAACGAUAAACACAUGACAACACAACACUUUAUUAUUAUACAAAUGAAAGAAAGACAACAACACUUUACAGAUCAGGUAAAAAAACGGUUUACAGAUAACUCCGAAUAAUAUUGUAGCAUAUAUCCCAGAUAUUCAAUCUACAACAUGUCCCAGAUAUUCUGGGGCGGAGCCUUCAAAAAAGAUAUUCUCCAGUGGAGAACAGCGCCGACGUCAGAGACGCCAUAUCUACCACCAUAUUGACCCUACCCAUGCUCCUGAGUAGCCGAUCUCCAGCGACGAGAACAUGCAAUAGUUGUUGCCUGCACGUAUACAACCAAAUACUAUCUAAAAAAUUCUGAAAUAAAAACCCGCAAAAAAUCAGAAAUAAAACACAGUGAACUCGAAACGGUGAGGCAACCGACUGACAUCCCGCUGGGUCGAGGCCUCGAGGGACAAGCUGGGGGUGAGGACGCCGUCUGCGACGGACGCCAUUGAAGAAGGGACGACAGCAUCCCAGCACAACGGAGCCGCCUCAGCCAGGCGCCUGUAGAGUGCCGACUCGAUGCGGCUCGCUUGGUGCCUCAGCGCGGCAGCAUCGGACAGAGAUGGGCGGCCUGAACCGUGGCUGUGUUGCUGCCUUCCUAAC
RNAcentral lists this long non-coding RNA (674 nucleotides) under Triticum aestivum (bread wheat). RNAcentral describes it as "long non-coding RNA (TAES_LNC015776)". The record is from RNAcentral. Lineage: Eukaryota; Viridiplantae; Streptophyta; Magnoliopsida; Poales; Poaceae.